CGGCGGACGGGUGAGUAACACGUGGGUAACCUACCUAUAAGACUGGGACAACUUCGGGAAACCGGAGCUAAUACCGGAUAAGAUAUCGAACCGCAUGGUUCGAUAGUGAAAGANGGUUUUGCUAUCACUUAUAGAUGGACCCGCGCCGUAUUAGCUAGUUGGUGAGGUAACGGCUCACCAAGGCAACGAUACGUAGCCGACCUGAGAGGGUGAUCGGCCACACUGGAACUGAGACACGGUCCAGACUCCUACGGGAGGCAGCAGUA
RNAcentral lists this ribosomal RNA (266 nucleotides) under uncultured Staphylococcus sp. RNAcentral's name for it is "partial 16S ribosomal RNA". It matches the Rfam family "Bacterial small subunit ribosomal RNA", at positions 96 to 355 of the family's 1533-position model. The record is from RNAcentral. Lineage: Bacteria; Bacillati; Bacillota; Bacilli; Caryophanales; Staphylococcaceae.